GGAUGUGAGGGGAUCUGGCUGCAACAUCUGUCACCCCAUUGAUCGCCAGGGUUGAUUCGGCUGAUCUGGCUGGCUAGGCGGGUGUCCCCCUCCUCCCUCACCGAUCCCAUGUGCGUCCCUCCCGAAGCUGCGCGCUCGGUCGAAGAGGACGACCUUCCCCCCUGAGGAGAGGACCGAUCUUCGGUCAAGGGUAUACGACUAGCUGCGCUCCCCUGCUAGAACCUCCAAACAAGCUCUCAAAAAAUGCAUUACCAACACUGGCCACAUACACAUGCUCAUUUCUGA
Molecule: small nuclear RNA, 285 nt
Filed under: Myotis davidii
Lineage: Eukaryota; Metazoa; Chordata; Mammalia; Chiroptera; Vespertilionidae
Description: 7SK RNA
Rfam family: 7SK RNA
About the family: 7SK was discovered as an abundant small nuclear RNA in the mid-70s but a possible function has only recently been suggested. Two independent studies have found that 7SK RNA binds the CDK9/cyclin T complex (known as elongation factor P-TEFb). P-TEFb activates transcription by phosphorylating the C-terminal domain of RNA polymerase II.
Source: Rfam by way of RNAcentral